GAUGAACGCUGGCGGCGUGCCUAAUACAUGCAAGUCGAGCGGACAGACGAGGAGCUUGCUCCUCUGACGUUAGCGGCGGACGGGUGAGUAACACGUGGAUAACCUACCUAUAAGACUGGGAUAACUUCGGGAAACCGGAGCUAAUACCGGAUAAUAUAUUGAACCGCAUGGUUCAAAAGUGAAAGACGGUUUUGCUGUCACUUAUAGAUGGAUCCGCGCCGCAUUAGCUAGUUGGUAAGGUAACGGCUUACCAAGGCAACGAUGCGUAGCCGACCUGAGAGGGUGAUCGGCCACACUGGAACUGAGACACGGUCCAGACUCCUACGGGAGGCAGCAGUAGGGAAUCUUCCGCAAUGGGCGAAAGCCUGAUGGAGCAACGCCGCGUGAGUGAUGAAGGUCUUCGGAUCGUAAAACUCUGUUAUUAGGGAAGAACAAAUGUGUAAGUAACUAUGCACGUCUUGACGGUACCUAAUCAGAAAGCCACGGCUAACUACGUG
Molecule: ribosomal RNA, 497 nt
Filed under: uncultured bacterium
Lineage: Bacteria
Description: partial 16S ribosomal RNA
Rfam family: Bacterial small subunit ribosomal RNA
Source: RNAcentral